AGGGUUUGAUCAUGGCUCAGAGCGAACGCUGGCGGCAGGCCUAACACAUGCAAGUCGAACGCACCUUCGGGUGAGUGGCGGACGGGUGAGUAACACGUGGGAACGUACCUUUUGGUUCGGAAUAACGCAGGGAAACUUGUGCUAAUACCGAAUGUGCCCUUCGGGGGAAAGAUUUAUCGCCAUUAGAGCGGCCCGCGUUAGAUUAGCUAGUUGGUGAGGUAAAGGCUCACCAAGGCUACGAUCUAUAGCUGGUCUGAGAGGAUGAUCAGCCACAUUGGGACUGAGACACGGCCCAAACUCCUACGGGAGGCAGCAGUGGGGAAUCUUGCGCAAUGGGCGAAAGCCUGACGCAGCCAUGCCGCGUGAAUGAUGAAGGUCUUAGGAUUGUAAAAUUCUUUCAGUAGGGACGAUAAUGACGGUACCUACAGAAGAAGCCCCGGCUAACUUCGUGCCAGCAGCCGCGGUAAUACGAAGGGGGCUAGCGUUGCUCGGAAUUACUGGGCGUAAAGGGAGCGUAGGCGGGUUAUCAAGUUGGAGGUGAAAGCCCAGGGCUCAACCUUGGAAUUGCCUUCAAAACUGAUAGCCUAGAGUAUGAUAGAGGUAAGUGGAACUCCGAGUGUAGAGGUGAAAUUCGUAGAUAUUCGGAAGAACACCAGUGGCGAAGGCGACUUACUGGAUCAUGACUGACGCUGAGGCUCGAAAGCGUGGGGAGCAAACAGGAUUAGAUACCCUGGUAGUCCACGCUGUAAAC
This 751-nucleotide ribosomal RNA is filed under the name uncultured Alphaproteobacteria bacterium. RNAcentral's name for it is "bacterial SSU rRNA". It matches the Rfam family "Bacterial small subunit ribosomal RNA", at positions 8 to 807 of the family's 1533-position model. Lineage: Bacteria; Pseudomonadati; Pseudomonadota; Alphaproteobacteria. The record is from RNAcentral.